Molecule: ribosomal RNA, 780 nt
Filed under: Hymenolepis sp. GP-2016
Lineage: Eukaryota; Metazoa; Platyhelminthes; Cestoda; Cyclophyllidea; Hymenolepididae
Description: SSU rRNA
Rfam family: Eukaryotic small subunit ribosomal RNA
Source: RNAcentral
ACGUUUGUAUGGCUGCGUUAGAGGUGAAAUUCAUGGAUCGUAGCCAGACAGACUAAAGCGAAAGCAUUCGUCAAGCAUGUUUUCAUUGGCCAUGAGCGAAAGUCAGAGGCUCGAAGACGAUCAGAUACCGUCCUAGUUCUGACCAUAAACGAUGCCAACUGACGAUCCGUGGCGGUAGUUUACAAACCUUCCCCACGGGCAGUCCCCGGGAAACCUUUAAGUCUUUGGGUUCCGGGGGAAGUAUGGUUGCAAAGCUGAAACUUAAAGGAAUUGACGGAAGGGCACCACCAGGAGUGGAGCCUGCGGCUUAAUUUGACUCAACACGGGAAAACUCACCCGGGCCGGACACUAUGAGGAUUGACAGAUUGAUAGCUCUUUCUUGAUUUGGUGGUUGGUGGUGCAUGGCCGUUCUUAGUUGGUGGAGCGAUUUGUCUGGUUAAUUCCGAUAACGAACGAGACUCCAGCCUGCUAAUUAGUGCAUUUGUCCACUGUACCAGCCGAGCGGCGCAGUGUCAACUGCUUUGGCUCAGUGUGGGAUUCGGUGCGUUUGUGCAUCCUGCGCGGUCAUGCUGCCUCGUGUGGCGUGGUUGGGUGGGGCUGUGCGCGGCGUACUUGGCCUGCAUGUUGUGCUCGGGCGGAUGGCACCACGUUAGCUAGCAGGUGCGGCGCGAAUGCUUACUUCUUAGAGGGACACGCGGGAGAAGCCGCACGAAAUAGAGCAAUAACAGGUCUGUGAUGCCCUUUAGAUGUCCGGGGCCGCACGCGCGCUACAAUGGCCGG